RNAcentral lists this transfer RNA (65 nucleotides) under Crassiplana albatrossi. RNAcentral's name for it is "tRNA-Lys". The record is from RNAcentral. Lineage: Eukaryota; Metazoa; Platyhelminthes; Polycladida; Callioplanidae.
GCUUGAAAGCGUAUAGCAGCAGAUUCUUACUCUGUAGGUGGACUUUUUAAUAUAGUUCUCAAGUU